UACGUAGUGAGCAAGCGUUAAUCGGAAUUACUGGGCGUAAAGCGUGCGCAGGCGGUUUUGUAAGUCUGUCGUGAAAGCCCCGGGCUCAACCUGGGAAUUGCGAUGGAGACUGCAAGGCUUGAAUCUGGCAGAGGGGGGUAGAAUUCCACGUGUAGCAGUGAAAUGCGUAGAGAUGUGGAGGAACACCGAUGGCGAAGGCAGCCCACUGGGU
Molecule: ribosomal RNA, 211 nt
Filed under: uncultured bacterium
Lineage: Bacteria
Description: partial 16S ribosomal RNA
Rfam family: Bacterial small subunit ribosomal RNA
Source: RNAcentral